RNAcentral lists this long non-coding RNA (321 nucleotides) under Androctonus crassicauda. Lineage: Eukaryota; Metazoa; Arthropoda; Arachnida; Scorpiones; Buthidae. The record is from RNAcentral.
GUCGUUCUUGCGCUGUCCCAUGCGAUGUCUAUGUCUGCUGCGUAGAGUUCUUGGGCUGAAGCUGUGCUUGGUCUUCCGUUUUUUAUAUCAUUUUUGUGUUCCUUCAGCCUCUCUGCUGGUGUGCGCAUUGUGCCUCCUAUGUGUUCCUUAUUCAGGGUCUUUUUCUUGUCAUAUAUUGGAAUGGUGUAUAUGCCCGAUUUGUUCCUGUCGUCUAGGUGGUCUUUGUCGUUCCUUGGGUGGGAGAGGGCUGUAGGGCCUCUUUUGGGAGCUGAUUUUGUUUGUGAUGUUUUUGCUGUUUUCUUUGCAAUGGGCAUCCUGGUU